Molecule: long non-coding RNA, 2046 nt
Organism: Cyprinus carpio carpio
Lineage: Eukaryota; Metazoa; Chordata; Actinopteri; Cypriniformes; Cyprinidae
Source: Ensembl
GUUAGAUUUUUAAUAUUUUUAUAAAAAGUCUCUUCUGCUCAUCAAGACUGCAUUUAUUUGAUUAAAAAUACAGCAAAAGCUAUAAUAUUGUGAAAUAUUAUUACAAUUUACAAAAACUGUUUUCUAUUUGAAUAUAUUGUAAAAUGUAAUUUAUUUCUGUGAUUCAACGCUGAAUUUUCAGCAUCAUCACUCCAUGCUUCAAUGUAUGAUAUCUUCAUAAAUCAAUGUAUUCCUAUUUCAAAAAUCAGAAUUGUUUAGAAAUUGUAAAGUCAUUUUAUUGAUUUAUUUUGCUUAUAAAAUCAGAAGUCACAGAGAAUAUAAUAUACACACUUAAUGUUUUAUUUCAUGUGAGCUACAUUCACGUGUCACUGACGUCACCUUUCUGUCGUUGUGUGGUCUGAAGCGCCCUCUAUUGGCCGCAGAGUGAAAAUGCCACUACAUGAUUGCAACAGUCUAUAAAGAUGGCUUAUACUGGCUUUAAAUACUGAUUAAAUAACUCCAGUCCACAGCUCCAAUACUGUGUUAGGAUCCAUCGACUUGAAUCCAGAAGUAUAAACUCUGUUUCUAGCAGAUAAUAGCUGUAUACCUCUCUGAAGUGGUUUUAUGAGCUGCCUUUGAGGCUAUGUUCAUGUUCAUUAUAGCUUUAGCUUAACAUAAUUCCAAAUCCUUCAGCCUCUCUGAACAAAAAUUAUUUCAAUCUUUGGUCUGAAUAAUAAUAGUAAAAAUAAAAAAUAUUAAGAAAACUCUUCCUCUUUUUAGGCUUUUUUUUUUUCAACUGUCUACCCAGCAAACAAGGAAUGUUCUCUCAAAGUUAUGAACAAACGUUUGUCCAGUAAUGUUAAAAAAAAAACGUUAAUUCAGUUAUCUGGUUUUUACGAAUGUCCUUAAAACUUGUCUCGAAAGAUUUAGAGAGCAUUUAAAAGUAACGUUUCUAUAAUGUUUGCAACAUUCUAAAAUGGAAUGUUCCCUUAAUGUUCACAUAUAACCAAGAAAAAUGGAUUUAAAAACUGUAUGUAACGGAAGUAACGUUCUUAGAACAUAUUUUUGUUAGCUGGGAAGUCAGGCUCUUUCAGAUCCAUGUGAGCGCUGGCGAUAGUUUACAUAAAUCUGAAAGAUCAAGGCCCUGUUAUAGAGUCAUCAUAUCCAACCUAAAGCAGCUUAUUCCUCGGUUGUGUUCACUUUAAAGGAGAAACACGCAGAUAUCAGGUCACAGCUGACAUCACAAGUUCCUCUUGCUUUGUGACCCCGCCCCUCCAACCACUUACACGUUCACUCACUGAGUUUCAAUCAGAAAUACAUCAGGCUAUCAGGGGUGUGAGAGAGAAAGAGGGCUUUGAGAUGCUUCUGGCGUUUUCCAUGGGAAAUACAGUCACUGCCCCUCGGCCCGGGAUCCUCCGUUAUCCGGUGUGAGUCAGCUGGGUUGUGUGGCAUCAGUCCCUGUGUAAUUAAAAGAUUUUCAUUACAUAGUGCACUUUCACGUCUCGCCCAUCACAGACAGGGUCACAAGCCACAGGCAUCUUCAUUAGACGAAUGUCCCUUUCAAAACGUGCUGAUCGAUGCUUAUAAGCAACCACUGGAGCAGAGCCCAGAUCAGAGAAAAGAAGAGCCGCCGACAAACAUUUAAAAAGACCUAAUCAGCAAUAAUUACAGAAGAUGAGCAUGACGAUACGACACUAGGUGCUUCUUUACCUCUGACUUGUCCUUGGCAUUGCUUUUACAAACCUGACUGGCUCGCAUUAUGUGUUAAAAUAAUGUAAAGCAAUUUAGCCCCCCGUGUUAUAGUGCCAAGAUUGUUCUCGCUUAUCAGAGUGAUUUAUUACUCUAAUUUAUAUGCUCAGCUUGGCUCGGUGUUGAGGACAGCAGAUCUGAUUGGACAUGAGUUUCCUAAUGCAGCAGGGUGCUGUCUUUAUGGUGACUAUAGUGUAGAUGCCAGGCUGUUGAUUGGAAACACUUUUAAUAGCUGCAGAGACAGAGGAGACUGACUGAAUGCACUCUGGUUUGGACAUAGCUACACAACUAUUCAGUUUAUGGAAUAAUAAAGCACUG